This 977-nucleotide ribosomal RNA is filed under the name human gut metagenome. RNAcentral describes it as "bacterial LSU rRNA". It matches the Rfam family "Bacterial large subunit ribosomal RNA", at positions 1950 to 2925 of the family's 2925-position model. The record is from RNAcentral.
CCUAAGGUAGCGAAAUUCCUUGUCGGGUAAGUUCCGACCCGCACGAAAGGCGUAAUGAUUUGGGCACUGUCUCAACGAGAGACUCGGUGAAAUUAUAGUACCCGUGAAGAUGCGGGUUACCCGCGACAGGACGGAAAGACCCCAUGGAGCUUUACUGUAGCUUGAUAUUGAGUGUUUGUACCGCUUGUACAGGAUAGGUAGGAGCCGUAGAGAUCGGAACGCUAGUUUCGAUGGAGGCGUUGGUGGGAUACUACCCUAGCUGUAUGAACACUCUAACCCGCGCCACUAAUCGUGGCGGGAGACAGUGUCAGGUAGGCAGUUUGACUGGGGCGGUCGCCUCCUAAAAUGUAACGGAGGCGCCCAAAGGUUCCCUCAGAAUGGUUGGAAAUCAUUCGCAGAGUGUAAAGGUAUAAGGGAGCUUGACUGCGAGACUGACAAGUCGAGCAGGGACGAAAGUCGGGCUUAGUGAUCCGGUGGUUCCGUAUGGAAGGGCCAUCGCUCAACGGAUAAAAGCUACCCUGGGGAUAACAGGCUUAUCUCCCCCAAGAGUCCACAUCGACGGGGAGGUUUGGCACCUCGAUGUCGGCUCAUCGCAUCCUGGGGCUGUAGUCGGUCCCAAGGGUUGGGCUGUUCGCCCAUUAAAGCGGUACGCGAGCUGGGUUCAGAACGUCGUGAGACAGUUCGGUCCCUAUCCGUCGCGGGCGCAGGAAAUUUGAGAGGAGCUGUCCUUAGUACGAGAGGACCGGGAUGGACGUUCCGCUGGUGUACCAGUUGUGCCGCCAGGCGCAUCGCUGGGUAGCUAUGAACGGCAGGGAUAAACGCUGAAAGCAUCUAAGUGUGAAGCCCCCCUCGAGAUGAGAUUUCCCAUUCCUAUAUGGAAGUAAGACCCCUGAGAGAUGAUCAGGUAGAUAGGCUGGAAGUGGAAGUGCAGCGAUGCAUGGAGCGGACCAGUACUAAUCGGUCGAGGACUUAACCAA